Long non-coding RNA from Gorilla gorilla gorilla (western lowland gorilla), 2973 nucleotides. RefSeq lists it as uncharacterized. Lineage: Eukaryota; Metazoa; Chordata; Mammalia; Primates; Hominidae. The transcript has 3 exons. The record is from RefSeq and is a predicted model, not a curated record.
UUACCUACCCAAAUCCUAUAAAACGGCCCCACCCUUAUCUCCCUUCACUGACUCUCUUUUCAGACUCAGCCCGCCUGCACCCAGGUGAAAUAAACAGCCACAUUGCUCACACAAAGCCUGUUUGGUGGUCUUUUCACACGGACGUACAUGAAAUUUGGUGCCGUGACUCGGAUUGGGGGACCUCCCUUGGGAGAUCAAUCCCCUGUCCUCUUGCUCUUUGCUCCGUGAGAAAGAUCCACCUCAGGUCCUCAGACCGACCAGCCCAAGAAACAUCUCACCAAUUUUAAAUUGGGGACCCACUGGAAGGCAGACUGCCCAGCUCGCCCGGCAGCCACUCCUAGAGCCCCUAAAGCUCUAGCCCAAGGCUCUCUGACUGACUCCUUCCCAGAUCUGCUCAGCUUAGAGACUGAAGAUUGACGCUGCCCGAUCACCUCGGAAGCCCCCUGGACCAUCAUGGACGCUGAGCUUCGGGUAACUCUCACAGUGAAGGAAGACAGGAAUGUCAGGCCUCUGAGCUCAAGCUAAGCCAUCAUAUCCCCUGUGACCUGCACGUACACAUCCAGAUGGCCGGUUCCUGCCUUAACUGAUGACAUUCCACCACGAAAGAAGUGAAAAUGGCCUGUUCCUGCCUUAACUGAUGACAUUGUCUUGUGAAAUUCCUUUUCCUGGCUCAUCCUGUCUCAAAAAGCUCUCCUACUGAGCACCUUGUGACCCCCACUCUGCCCUCCAGAGAACAACUCCCCUUUGACUGUAAUUUUCCUUUAUCUACCCAAAUCCUAUAAAAUGGCCCCACCCUUAUCUCCCUUAGCUGACUCUCUUUUCAGACUCAGCCCGCCUGCACCCAAGUGAAAUAAACAGCCUUGUUGCUCACACAAAGCCCGUUUGGUGGUCUCUUCACAUGGACGUGCAUGAAAAGAAUACUUAAAAAAAAAAAAAAAAAAAAGCAGCAUCAGCACCACCUGGAAGCUUGUUAUUUAUACAGAAUCUCAGACCCACCUGAAACCUACUGCAUUGGCAUUUGCAUUUUAACAACUCUGGUGAUUUGUUUUCUCAUUUCACAAGUUGUAGUCUGAAAAAUCAGGAGCUGUCAGGAAAGGAGAUCUACUUCCCUGGCUACUGCGAAUCAAGGUUUCUUCUGCAUCUACGACUGCUACUCAUAAAAUGUGAAAUACCCUUCAGGAAUCUAUAUGGCUCUAAAGACUCAUAGUGAGAUGUUAAGUAUCCCUUUCUCCUUCCUAAUAGCAGCCUAUUUCCUUUCAAGAAUUCUCUUCCCCUAUUCUAUGUCUUGUCGUGAGGGUUGAUUUCAGGUGCCUACUAACCCAAACAAGCCAGAGAAGCAAUUCUUUUCUCUAGGUUCUCAACCAGGGGUGAUUUUGCCCCCCAGGGGACAUUUUGGCAACAUCUGGAAACAUAUUUGUUUGUGACAAAUGACAGGGAGAGAUACUGGCAUCUAGUGAAAAGCAGCCGGGGCUGCCGCUAAACAUCAUAUAGUACCCAGGAUGGCCCCUCACAGCAAAUAAUUAUCCAGCCCAAAAUAUUAAUAGGACCAAGGCUGCAAAACCCUGAAUGAGUAAUUACAUACAUUCUCCCUCUUUCAGGAAGUCUCAAUCUUGAGAGAAGGGGGAAAGAGAAAUAGAACAUCGCUGUCACAGCAGCGUCACUGUGACCCAACUCGUCCUGCCUAGAUGACCUGCUUCCUCCCUCUUGACCCUCCAGAGUGCUGUCAAUUCCCUACCAUGGAGCCCUAGCUUUGCAUAAAUCAUACGAGCCCCAGUUUCCUUCCAGCUCACUGUCAUUUGCCCAAGUUAGCCAGUAUCUUUCUGUUGAUGGUAACCAAGAACCCUUACGCCCAACCAUCCAGUUAGAGGAGGGCUCCAUUCCAGGGCAGGGCAGGCUUACCCAGCUGCUAGGCUAAGCACACACUUCAAGCAUCAGCAAGUAACUGACAAGUUCAGCUUGAAUGAACUUAACCAGAAUUUGCAGUCAAGAAAACUAGAAAGAAACUGUUUUAAUUUCAGUAUAAGUGUUUCAUUUUGCAUCAAGUGAUUUAAACAGUUCAUUAUUUGGGACCCUGAUGUUCUGGGCCAUCAGGUGGGGCAGGCUUGCUCUGGUUUUGAGUUUCAAUGCUAAGAAGGAAGAGGAAAACGAGAGAGAAGAGAUUGAGUUGUUUAUAUUAUCUGGCCUCAGGUGAGAGAGUACUGGAAUGAGAAGCCUAUGUUUAAAGGAAAAAAUAUUAAAACUGGGAAAGUAUUGAACAUGGAAAGAUGUAACCUAUACAAUGAAGUACAGCACAAUGGAAGAACCUAAAAAUUAAAACCAAGAAUACAUAUAUAUAUUUCUUGAUAUAUAUAUCAAAAAAUAACAAUCUAUCUGCAAGCCGAAAAGUGUUGCAGAAGGAAUGGAGGCUUUGUCAUCAAAUACACCUGCUGGUUUAACCAAACUAAGAUUGAAAGUAAAAACCUUAGCUUGGGAAACAUAGCGAGACCCCAUCUCUACAAAAACUGAAAAAAUAGCCAGGUGUGGUGGUGCAUGCCUGUGGUCCCAGCUACUUCGGAGGCUGAGGUAGAAGGAUUGCUUGAGCCCAGGAAGUCAAGCCAGCAGUGGGCCAUGUUUGAGCCACUGCACUCCAGCCUGGGUGACAGAGUAAGACCCUGUCUCAGAAAAAAAAAAAAGAAAGAAUGUAAAAGCCUUCGAAGCCAUUUGGCAAAGAUCAUGGAAAACAGGGCAAGCAAUAGCUACAGAGUUCCAGAGCCAUGUUAAAUUAAUAAAUAAGUAAAUAUUUAAACAUUGAAUACCUUAACAAUUAAAAAUCAUAUCUAUCUAUUAUAUUGUUGAAUAACAAAAGCCUAUUACAGGAUGAUUCUACCCAUAUCGACAUUUGCAUAUAUGCAUAAAGCAAGUCUGGAAGGACCUUCACAAGCAUGUUAACAAUGGUCACCUAUGGGUUGGGAGAUCUUUGAAUUUUUUUUUUUU